This 764-nucleotide ribosomal RNA is filed under the name marine CFB-group bacterium SY009. RNAcentral describes it as "bacterial SSU rRNA". It matches the Rfam family "Bacterial small subunit ribosomal RNA", at positions 65 to 816 of the family's 1533-position model. Lineage: Bacteria; Pseudomonadati; Bacteroidota. The record is from RNAcentral.
AGGGGCAGCGGGGAAAAGCUUGCUUUUCCGCCGGCGACCGGCGCACGGGUGCGCACCGCGUAUGGAACCUGCCUUGUACAGGGGAAUAGCCCAGGGAAACUUGGAUUAAUGCCCCGUAGUACCGUAUUUCGGCAUCGUUAUACGGUUAAAGCCUUCGGGCGGUACAAAAAGGGCCNGGCGUCCCAUUAGCUUGUUGGUAAGGUAACGGCUUACCAAGGCUACGAUGGGUAGGGGCCCUGAGAGGGGGAUCCCCCACACUGGUACUGAGACACGGACCAGACUCCUACGGGAGGCAGCAGUGAGGAAUAUUGGACAAUGGAGGAGACUCUGAUCCAGCCAUGCCGCGUGCAGGAAGAAUGCCCUAUGGGUAGUAAACUGCUUUUAUACGGGAAGAAAAAGAGCUACGUGUAGCUUACUGACGGUACCGUAAGAAUAAGGACCGGCUAACUCCGUGCCAGCAGCCGCGGUAAUACGGAGGGUCCGAGCGUUAUCCGGAAUUAUUGGGUUUAAAGGGUCCGUAGGCGGGCCGAUAAGUCAGGGGUGAAAGUCUGCCGCUCAACGGUAGAACUGCCUUUGAUACUGUCGGUCUUGAGUUAUAGUGAAGUUGCCGGAAUAUGUANNUGUAGCGGUGAAAUGCAUAGAUAUUACAUAGAACACCGAUUGCGAAGGCAGGUGACUAACUAUAUACUGACGCUGAUGGACGAAAGCGUGGGGAGCGAACAGGANUAGAUACCCUGGUAGUCCACGCCGUAAACGAUGGAUAC